GUCACAUGUGGAGCCCAGCAGUGACUUUGAAUUUCCAGUCCCAGAGCCAUCCUUCAGACUCGAUGUAGAGAACAGAAGAUCAAAGGCCGCAAAGAGAUGACUUUUCAUCUUGGUAAUGUGGGCGACGACCGAAUACGUUCACCACACAGGAUGGCACCCACAAGCACAGAACAUGUGGAAUUGAAAAUCCCAUUAAAAAUAGGCCAGCUGAUAAGGGAGAUGAGCACAUAGUGCUCCGAGUGAUUUCCCAAUUUCACACCUCAACAUUUUUCCUCCAUUCAGGGCUCGGAUUGGGCUUCAGUUUGAAAGUGAGGAGAGCUGCACACGCAACACAACAACAACAAAAAAAAAUCCUAUUUGGUCAGAAAACAAACAGUGUGCGCUGGAACUCUGCAGACGACUGAAAAAACAUCACACCACAGUGAAACACGGCCAAGUCCAGCCAUCCUACCUGCCCGCUGCUGUUUCAGAUCUAUGAUCCGCAAAGUGGGAGGGGAUUGCAGCUGGUUAGUCACUCCAUCAUCAUUGUCCCAAACACAUAAUCAUAGCCAAGGCAUGGCACUGUAACCAUCAAUUGCUCGUUGCUGUGCUGUGGGUGAUGCUGCCUGCUGUUUGGCUUGUGUUUUUUUAUAGAUGAGCUGUGUGCUGUGUUUUCUGGUUUUGGAAUGAUUCAUUUAAUUCAUUGAUUCCAGGAUGUCUGUGAUAAAUGUGUUUUCUUACCCUGAAAAUCUGUGUCCAAUUUUCUCCCACCUCUUCAUGCAGAACUGUAGAUUACAUUCAAGUAUUCAACAUGUUGGAUGUCAUCACACACCAGCUACAUUG
Acanthopagrus latus (yellowfin seabream) is the source of this 822-nucleotide long non-coding RNA. RefSeq lists it as uncharacterized. NCBI's taxonomy places the organism in Eukaryota, Metazoa, Chordata, Actinopteri, Spariformes, Sparidae. The record is from RefSeq and is a predicted model, not a curated record. The transcript is spliced from 3 exons.